AACGAACGCUGGCGGCGUGCUUAACACAUGCAAGUCGCGUGCGCGGUUCACGAACUUGUACGUGGAUGGGCGCACGGCGCAGGGGGGCGUAACACGUGGGCACUCUGCCCUCCGAUGGGGAAUACUCCCGCGAACCGGGGGCUAAUACCGCAUAACAUUCCGAGGACUUGGGUUCUUGGAUUCAAAGCAGUGAUGCCUGUGAGGAGGAGCCCGCGCCCGAUUAGCUAGUUGGUAGGGUAACGGCCUACCUCGGCAAUGAUCGGUAGCUGGUCUGAGAGGAUAAUCAGACACACUGCAACUGAAACGAGGCCCAGACUCCUACCGUAGGGAACGCUGGGGAAUCUUGCCUUCUGGGCGAAAGCAUGACCCAACGACGCCGCGUGGGGGAUGAAGCUUUUGCUAGUGUAAACCCCUUUUCACUGGUAAGAAUGCACGCAAGGGAGCGACAGUACCCUGGCAAGAAGCCCCGGCUAACUACGUGCCACCCGCCUCGGUAAGACCUAGGGGGCCAGCGUUGUUCGGAAUUACUGGGUGUAUAGGGUACUUAUGCGGUGCGACAAGUUGGGAGUGAAAUCUCUGGGCUUAACCCAGAGGCUGCUUCUCAAACUGCUAUGCUUGAUUGUGACAGAGGCUCUUGAAAUUGCAGGAGUAGCGUUGAAAUGCAUGUAUAUCUGCAAGAUCACCCGAGAUAUGGACGAACAGCUGGAUCACAAGUGACGCUGAGGAACGAAAGCUACGCUGAGCGAACAGGAUUAUAUACACUGGUAGUCCUAGCACUAAACGAUCAUGACUUGCGGUGACGACCGUUCGGACGUCUCCCGGAGCUAACGCGUUAAGUCCUGCACCUGGGGAGUACGGUCGCAGACUGGAAGUCAAAGGAAUUGACGGGGGCCCGCACAAGCGGUGGAACAUGUGGUUCAAUUCGACGCUACGCGAGGAACCUUACCUGGUUCGAAAUUCUUAUGACCAGCUGUAGAAUUACGGCUUUCCUUCAAGAGACAUGAGUCUAGGCGCUCCAUGGCUGUCGUCAGUUCGUUCCGUGAGGUGUUGGGUUAAGUCCCGCAACGAGCGCAACCCCUGCACGUAGUUACUACUCGCAAGAGAGGACUCUACGUGGACUGCUCCGGAUAACGGAGAGGAAGGUGGGAAUGACGUCAAGUCCGCAUGGCCUUUAUGUCCAGGGCUACACACGUGUUACAAUGCAGGGUACAAACCGUUGCCAACCCGCGAGGGGGAGCUAAUCGGAUAAAACUGUGCUCAGUUCGGAUUGCAGUCUGCAACUCGACUGCAUGAAGCUGGAAUCGCUAGUAAUGGGGAUCAGCUUGACGCCGUGAAUACGUUCCCGGGCCUUGUACACACCGCCCGUCACAUCACGAAAGUGAGCUCACCUAGAAGUCGCCACGCUAACCGCAAGGGGGCAGGCGCCCAAGGUAUGACUCAUGAUUGGGGUG
Molecule: ribosomal RNA, 1451 nt
Filed under: uncultured bacterium
Lineage: Bacteria
Description: 16S ribosomal RNA
Rfam family: Bacterial small subunit ribosomal RNA
Source: RNAcentral